GAUGAACGCUGGCGGCGUGCUUAACACAUGCAAGUCGAACGAAGCAAUUUAGCGGAAGUUUUCGGAUGGAAGUUAGAUUGACUGAGUGGCGGACGGGUGAGUAACGCGUGGGUAACCUGCCUCGCACUGGGGGACAACAGUUAGAAAUGACUGCUAAUACCGCAUAAGCGCACAGGACUGCAUGGUCUAGUGUGAAAAACUCCGGUGGUGUGAGAUGGACCCGCGUUUGAUUAGCUAGUUGGUGGGGUAACGGCCUACCAAGGCGACGAUCAAUAGCCGACCUGAGAGGGUGACCGGCCACAUUGGGACUGAGACACGGCCCAAACUCCUACGGGAGGCAGCAGUGGGGAAUAUUGCACAAUGGGCGAAAGCCUGAUGCAGCGACGCCGCGUGAGUGAAGAAGUAUUUCGGUAUGUAAAGCUCUAUCAGCAGGGAAGAAAAUGACGGUACCUGACUAAGAAGCCCCGGCUAACUACGUGCCAGCAGCCGCGGUAAUACGUAGGGGGCAAGCGUUAUCCGGAUUUACUGGGUGUAAAGGGAGCGUAGACGGUAAAGCAAGUCUGAAGUGAAAGCCCGGGGCUCAACCCCGGGACUGCUUUGGAAACUGUUUAACUAGAGUGCUGGAGAGGUAAGCGGAAUUCCUAGUGUAGCGGUGAAAUGCGUAGAUAUUAGGAGGAACACCAGUGGCGAAGGCGGCUUACUGGACAGUAACUGACGUUGAGGCUCGAAAGCAUGGGUAGCAAACAGGAUUAGAUACCCUGGUAGUCCAUGCCGUAAACGAUGAUUACUAGGUGUUGGGGGAUUGACCCCCUCAGUGCCGCAGUUAACACAAUAAGUAAUCCACCUGGGGAGUACGACCGCAAGGUUGAAACUCAAAGGAAUUGACGGGGGCCCGCACAAGCAGUGGAGUAUGUGGUUUAAUUCGAAGCAACGCGAAGAACCUUACCAGGUCUUGACAUCCGAUGCAUAGCACAGAGAUGUGUGAAAUCCCUCGGGACAUCGAGACAGGUGGUGCAUGGUUGUCGUCAGCUCGUGUCGUGAGAUGUUGGGUUAAGUCCCGCAACGAGCGCAACCCUUAUUGCCAGUUACUACGUUAAGAGGACUCUGGCGAGACUGCCGUUGACAAAACGGAGGAAGGUGGGGAUGACGUCAAAUCAUCAUGCCCUUUAUGACCUGGGCUACACACGUACUACAAUGGCGUUAAACAAAGAGAAGCAAGACCGCGAGGUGGAGCAAAACUCAAAAACAACGUCUCAGUUCAGAUUGCAGGCUGCAACUCGCCUGCAUGAAGUCGGAAUUGCUAGUAAUCGCGGAUCAGCAUGCCGCGGUGAAUACGUUCCCGGGCCU
Molecule: ribosomal RNA, 1347 nt
Filed under: uncultured bacterium
Lineage: Bacteria
Description: bacterial SSU rRNA
Rfam family: Bacterial small subunit ribosomal RNA
Source: RNAcentral